Molecule: ribosomal RNA, 253 nt
Filed under: uncultured bacterium
Lineage: Bacteria
Description: partial 16S ribosomal RNA
Rfam family: Bacterial small subunit ribosomal RNA
Source: RNAcentral
UACGUAGGGGGCAAGCGUUGUCCGGAUUUAUUGGGCGUAAAGAGCGUGUAGGCGGCUUUGCAAGUCCGUUGUGAAAACUCGAGGCUCAACCUCGAGACGCCGGUGGAAACUGCAAAGCUAGAGUCCGGAAGAGGAGAGUGGAAUUCCUGGUGUAGCGGUGAAAUGCGCAGAUAUCAGGAAGAACACCCGUGGCGAAGGCGGUUCUCUGGACAGUUCCUGACGCUGAGGCACGAAGGCCAGGGGAGCAAACGGG